CAGCAGCCGCGGUAAUACGGAGGAUGCAAGCGUUAUCCGGAAUUAUUGGGUUUAAAGGGUGCGUAGGCGGGAUAAUAAGUCAGUGGUGAAAGUCUGCAGCUCAACUGUAGAAUUGCCAUUGAUACUGUUGUUCUUGAGUGCUUGUGAAGUGGUUAGAAUGAGUAGUGUAGCGGUGAAAUGCAUAGAUAUUACUCAGAAUACCGAUUGCGAAGGCAGAUCACUAACAAUACACUGACGCUGAUGGACGAAAGCGUAGGUAGCGAACAGGAUUAGAUACCCUGGUAGUCUACGCCGUAAACGAUGGUUACUAGCUGUUCGGACUAAUUGCGGUCUGAGUGGCUAAGCGAAAGUGAUAAGUAACCCACCUGGGGAGUACGUUCGCCAGAAUGAAACUCAAAGGAAUUGACGGGGGCCCGCACAAGCGGUGGAGCAUGUGGUUUAAUUCGAUGAUACGCGAGGAACCUUACCAGGGCUUAAAUGCAGUUUGACAGGGGUGGAAACACCUUUUUCUUCGGACAAAUUGCAAGGUGCUGCAUGGUUGUCGUCAGCUCGUACCGUGAGGUGUCAGGUUAAGUCCUAUAACGAGCGCAACCCCUUUGGUUAGUUACCAGCAUGUAAUGAUGGGGACUCUAGCCAUACUGCCAGUGUAAACUGUGAGGAAGGUGGGGAUGACGUCAAAUCAUCACGGCCCUUACGUCCUGGGCUACACACGUGCUACAAUGGUAGGGACAGAGAGCAGCCACUGGGUGACCAGGAGCGAAUCUACAAACCCUAUCACAGUUCGGAUCGCAGUCUGCAACUCGACUGCGUGAAGCUGGAAUCGCUAGUAAUCGCAUAUCAGCCAUGAUGCGGUGAAUACGUUCCCGGGCCUUGUACACACCGCCCGUCACACCAUGGGAGUUGGGUUUACCCGACGGCCGUGCGCUAACCCCUUGGGGGAGGCAGCGUCCUAGGGUAGAACUAGUAACUGGGGUGAAGUCGUAACAAGGUAGCCGUA
This 997-nucleotide ribosomal RNA is filed under the name uncultured bacterium ORGANIC-6. Its description in RNAcentral is "bacterial SSU rRNA". It matches the Rfam family "Bacterial small subunit ribosomal RNA", at positions 509 to 1504 of the family's 1533-position model. The record is from RNAcentral. Lineage: Bacteria; Pseudomonadati; Bacteroidota; Flavobacteriia.